AACGAACGCUGGCGGCAUGCCUAACACAUGCAAGUCGAACGAGACCUUCGGGUCUAGUGGCGCACGGGUGCGUAACGCGUGGGAAUCUGCCCUUGGGUUCGGAAUAACAGUGAGAAAUUACUGCUAAUACCGGAUGAUGUCUUCGGACCAAAGAUUUAUCGCACAGGGAUGAGCCCGCGUAGGAUUAGCUAGUUGGUGGGGUAAUGGCCUACCAAGGCGACGAUCCUUAGCUGGUCUGAGAGGAUGAUCAGCCACACUGGGACUGAGACACGGCCCAGACUCCUACGGGAGGGAGCAGUGGGGAAUAUUGGACAGUGGGCGCAAGCCUGAUCUAGCAAUGCCGCGUGAGUGAUGAAGGCCUUAGGGUUGUAAAGCUCUUUUACCCGGGAUGAUAAUGACAGUACCGGGAGAAUAAGCUCCGGCUAACUCCGUG
This 433-nucleotide ribosomal RNA is filed under the name uncultured bacterium. RNAcentral describes it as "partial 16S ribosomal RNA". It matches the Rfam family "Bacterial small subunit ribosomal RNA", at positions 29 to 507 of the family's 1533-position model. The record is from RNAcentral.